GAACCAACUGGUGAACCUUCUCCUAAAAGACCAAGAGGAAGACCCAAAGGAAGCAAAAACAAGAGUCCCUCUAAAGCAGCUCAGAAGAAAGCAGAAGCCACUGGUGAAAAGCGACCCAGAGGCCGGCCCAGAAAAUGGCCUCAACAAGUGGUUCAAAAGAAGCCUGCUCAGGAAGAGACUGAAGAAACAUCCUCACAAGAGUCCGCAGAGGAAGACUAGGAGACCACACCAUGCAAUUUCUACCUCAUCAGCAGUUGGGUCUUUUUAAGGGAGAAGACGCUGCCUUGACCACUUAUUUUCUAUUGCCAUGGUCUUUCCACUUUUGCCUGGGGGAAAAAAAAUAAUUGCAUAACCUUAAAAAGGAUUUGACUAAUCAUCUUCUUUGUAAUCCCUUCACAGUCCCAGGUUUAGUGAAAAACUGCUGUAACACAAUGGGGGGGGGACACAGAUUAACGAUGCAACUUUUAAUUACUGUUUUCUAUUUUCUUAACCUACUAAUAGUUUGAGCUGCUAAGUAAGGGUGAAUGGGUCAAGAAGAGCUCUGAAUCAGGUUUAUGUCAUUCACUGCACUGCAUAUAAACAAGAAAUUUGUAACAUAGUCAUUAUAAUGGGCAUUGAAAUAGAAAAGGCUGGGUGUCUAACACGAAAGCCUUGCAACACUUCCAGCAACCCGCUCCCUACUUAGUCCAUUUUAGAACACCAAAGACAGGGGAUAAAUAUUUUGCUUCCUCUUUUGUAACCUUGUAGACUUGUACUUGAUUUAAAAAAAAAAUAUUUUAAGACUUACUGUUAUUUCAGGAAAAGUACUGAAAGCUGAUCUUUCACUUCAUUCAGCUGGUAAUCAGAAGACAUCAACAUGAAAAAGGUACUUUCAUUUUGCAAAAGGGAAGAAAGACAAAGAUACGUUGUAUAGUUAUAGAUACAAACAUAUCAGCAGAAGCAGUAGUAAACAAAAUGAAUAGCCCUCAUCUUCUGGACUAUAGGAAUCCAGACUGAGUCGACUUUCUGUAGAGUCAGGUGUUUCCAUGGAAACAAAUGACUGACACCAAACACUCUUUAUGCCAUUAAUGACUAAGUCUUUAUCGAGAAAAGUGUUUUCAAACAUAUAGAAAGGUACCUCAAAAUUAAUGAUGAAUUUAUCUAAACAAAAAUAAACCAGAUGUUUUGCUUAGUUUGACUAAUUCUACUCACCCCAUACCAGUAUUUCAGAAGAUUUGAAUCUCUUCUCAUUACUCAUCAGUCAUGAUGUAAGAACUCACACCAUGUACCUCAGCUAAGCUUGUGCAUUACUUUAAGCAAUGUAUUUUGACAUAGGAUGGUUCACUGAGCACUUCCGUGCCAGUGGCAUUUCUCCAUCUUUUCAUUCAAAGCAGCACUUUUAGCACCAGAUGCAAUAUUACCCCACUAUUCAAUACUACCUCUGAUUUUUACAAAUAACUCAACAGACUGAUAAAUACAUGCUGCUAUACACAUUCAAUGCAGGAAAUUUUUACUGGGUAGAUAAUCAUGAGUAUCUGCAUUUUCCCCUUAUUUCUACUUCAACACCUAGUUGCAGUUAAGGAAGCAAUAUCUUUAUUGUGUUUCAGCAUGACUAUGUAUUUUUCUUUCUCUUGGUUUGGUUUGGUUUUUUUUUAAUGUACUUACCCUAUUCUCUGCUAGACUUCUGUGUAAUGUACUGUUAACUUGAAUAUAUUUUUGUACUGAAUUGCUGAUAGGUUAGUGAGAAUAAUUUUCUUCAGUGACACUACAUGACAUAGAAAAAAAUUUAGCUGUAAUGUUUAAAUAUUACUGUCCAAGUUUGUACCUCAAAUGAAUUGUUUAAAGAAAUGGACUAAUUGAUUGACAAAGAUCUACCUCCAGACUUUAAAUGGAAUGAACUUGUUACUUUCAGCAUUAGUUUUGAGACGUUUGAAACAGUUAGGACUGCAACUAAUCCCUAAUUCAAAACUAUUUUUGUAAAAUAACUUGUGGAAAAUGAACACAUUUUAAAUUACUUUCGUAUUAAAAAAAAAAAAACGAACAAAAAAAACCUUCAAAGAAACUUGAAGCUUUGUAGGUGGGAAGCAACAAGCUCAGCUUUUGCAUAAUGCAAUCACAAAUAUGUGUUUAAAAAAAUAAUUAGUAGCUUGUGUAUUUUACACAAAUGUGAUUUUGUAAUAUGUUUCAGCCAGAUUUAUUUUAAAUGCUUCUUGUGUAGAGGUUUUUUAUUCUCUUCUCUCUCACUUUUGUUGUUCUUUCUCUCUCUCUCUCUCUCUCCCCUUUCUCCUAUUUAGUUUUCUCUUUCUGUUUUGUUUCCCUUCUUCCUCUCUUUCCUAGUCAGUACUUUGUACCAUAGUAUUAAUAACUGGGCCAGGGGUAGUUUCUCAGGAGGGCGUCUGUUGGUAUGGCUUUAGUACUGAGCCAAAUGCAGUUAAAGAUAACUACUUUACGGGCGUUUUCCAAGAGGCAGUGUCAAGAAAUGCAGACCUCCUUGAAAGCCCGCGGAGGGUUCAGUGACAGAAAAUCGCUGAGAAAGAGCUGAUUGGAGUAUAACAACUAGACACAUUAAUAUUAAAUGAAAGAGGAAUCCUAGCUAUACAGUAGCUUUAGCAGGCUAAAUCCACUGUCACUUGAAGGCAGGAGAAGGAAUUCUUCUGACUUCAAAGAGCAUUGAAUCAAGCCUUAGCAAGUCCCUUCUGGGGUUUGGGUUGGGGUUUUUUUUGCAUUUUUAAAAACAACAAUUAUCAGUGGAUGACACAGAAAUAAUUGCUGGAUGUGUGUCACACUUCAACCUCCGAGAGACUUACCAUUCUGAUGAACUGAAUCUUCUGUUUCCUAUAUAUUGUAGUACAAUCAAAAUACAUUACUACCUCUUAGGGCCUACUAUACCUCAUUUUUUCAGACUGAAAAAUUGCAUGUGGCCAUUGAAUCAGUGAGAACAUCAUAAAAUUUUUUAUAUAUAUAGUUUAUUUUUGUGGGAGAUAAAUUUUAUACGACUGUUCUUUGCUGUCAUUGGUCACUGCUAACUAAGACUGGACAUUUAACUUUUCUACCAUUUCUGCAAGAGAGGUGUGUUUGCAGGAAAAAAAAAAACAAACGCUUCAAGGUGUUUAACUACAGUUUACUUUUUCUUUUGAGUGUCUUCUAACUUUUUGCUUUAUUCUUUGUGUAGAGUUGCUGUCUAUGAUUGUAUUUCAAAUCGCUUGCUUGUUGAAAAUGUUCCUUUAAUGGAUUAUCACAGUCUGUUCAGCGCAAUAAACAUAAUAGCCUCUGUGAUCCCCA
Athene cunicularia (burrowing owl) is the source of this 3261-nucleotide long non-coding RNA. RefSeq lists it as uncharacterized. The record is from RefSeq and is a predicted model, not a curated record. The transcript is spliced from 4 exons. Lineage: Eukaryota; Metazoa; Chordata; Aves; Strigiformes; Strigidae.